RNAcentral lists this ribosomal RNA (302 nucleotides) under uncultured bacterium. Its description in RNAcentral is "partial 16S ribosomal RNA". It matches the Rfam family "Bacterial small subunit ribosomal RNA", at positions 508 to 807 of the family's 1533-position model. The record is from RNAcentral.
GCAGCCGCCGCGGUAAUACAGAGGGUGCGAGCGUUAAUCGGAUUUACUGGGCGUAAAGCGUGCGUAGGCGGCUUCUUAAGUCGGAUGUGAAAUCCCUGAGCUUAACUUAGGAAUUGCAUUCGAUACUGGGAAGCUAGAGUAUGGGAGAGGAUGGUAGAAUUCCAGGUGUAGCGGUGAAAUGCGUAGAGAUCUGGAGGAAUACCGAUGGCGAAGGCAGCCAUCUGGCCUAAUACUGACGCUGAGGUACGAAAGCAUGGGGAGCAAACAGGAUUAGAUACCCGAGUAGUCCCUGUCUCUUAUAC